This 211-nucleotide unclassified non-coding RNA is filed under the name Hevea brasiliensis (rubber tree). The record is from RNAcentral. Lineage: Eukaryota; Viridiplantae; Streptophyta; Magnoliopsida; Malpighiales; Euphorbiaceae.
UUCUAUGAUUUUUCCGGAUCGCGGGAUCUAUCAAGUCAGUCCACCGUCCAGUGAAGAUAAGUCUUUGUUUUUUACCCAUUUAAUUGAGGCUGCUUCCUCGGUUUUGCUGGAGGGCAUGGAUAAAAAAGUGCAAGUGUCUGGAACCUUUCCCGAGCUUCCCAAGGCUCCAGUAGUUGCCAGUGGACCAAAGGUUUCUGAGUUAAAAGCCAAG